AUAUUGAAAAAAUAGGUGAAUUUUUCGUGUAUAAAUAGAAUGCAAGAGAAGAGGGGAAAAUAACUACACUUAAUAAUUUCACAGUUGAGAGCAGAGCAUACAUUAAAGAUGAUGCAGAAGAAGACGUUGGCGAUAGCUCUGGUGUGGCUCCUGGUUGCGUCGUCAAUCAUGAUGUGCGCGUACGCAGCUGCAGACAGUACCCCAUUGAAAACUGCUGACCAAGUUCUCCAUCCCCUAGCAGGUAAGAACGAACAUCAUAUAUAUCCUUUUGCUUUCGCAUCUGUUCUACAAAUUAAUAUUCUACAUAGUAUAUAUAUAUAUACAUACUACUACAAUUAGGCGCAAUGUGUUUCGGUGCUUGAAUGCAUGCAUGCAUGUGCAUUUACGUAAUAUAUAGUAAUUUAGAGUAUAUAUAUAUAUAUAUAUAUUCAUAGAACUAACUAUAUGUGGAUGCUAAUAAAUACAUACACUACUUGAAGGUUGUCGCUGCUGCAACUUCAUUCGUGUGAAAGGGUUUAUCCAAUGCGGAACAGUUUGUUGUGUGGAUGGAUGUUGCGGACGCAAGUGAAGCACCUGCAAUGCAGCUACACAGACAAUAAUAUGAAUCAUGGUGAUAUAGUUGCACAAUAAGAUGAAUAAUGGUGGUUAAAAGUUGCAACAUCUCUGAAGCAAUUAAUCAACCACCCCCCNNNNNNNNNNNNNNNNNNNNNNNNNNNNNNNNNNNNNNNNNNNNNNNNNNNNNNNNNNNNNNNNNNNNNNNNNNNNNNNNNNNNNNNNNNNNNNNNNNNNUAAUUAUUAUCGAUUUCCCUGUUUGUUUGUUUUGCAUUCCUAUCGAGUUAUAUAAUGUUUGUCGAAAAGAUCCUGUUUAAUGAAAAAUGUCUGGAAAUCUGGGUGUUUCAGCAGGAUUUCUUUACGUUAUGUAUGUCUACAUGAGGAUUUAUCUAUAAUCUAUCUAUAUAAAAGCGAUCGACUCGUUAAUCUAAAAGUAUCAUUCAUUUCAAGAGUUUGAUUCACAAUCUGUCCUGCCUGCCUACUAAUUUCAAGGAACAACUAGAUGAACUGCUUCUAGUGUUAACACAAGAAAAACUGUUUCUGCUCCAUACCAACCAAAACAUACAAAACUGCACCUUUUUAUAGUCAUUUCAUGAUACUUACCAUAUGAAUGUUCCAAUACACAAAUGUUCCGAUCUAUAAAAAUUUAUUUUUUAUUUUUAUUUUUUUGAAAAAACCUGGAAAAAAAUACAUUAUGUCGUUCAAAUUAGGGAGUACAUGCGUAAUAGGGUUGAGGGAUAUAUACCUACUCUAUUCAAAAAUGAAGUACGUUACAAACUUUCAUAAUCUAAGUAAGAAAAUAAAGUAUCGAUAAACAACUUUCAAAGACAUGCCAAGUCUCGCAUCCAAUUUAUAUCAUAUAAUCACCAUUCAACGAUCAUCAUAAAAGAAAAUCACUCACCACAUCAGUAGAAUCAGAGCUCCCACAAGGAGAAAAAAGACCCCACAAGAGGGGAGAAAGAACGAUUUAAACCUAAAGGAGAAAAUAAAAUUCCAAAACAAUGAUAAAAUAAAAAAAGAUAGUCAAUAAGAAGAUCAUGGGAGGGUCUCUUCAAACAAGAUACAGACCCUCACCCUCCCCAGGUCUAAGUUUGAAGUUUGGGAGACUAGGGUUUAUGGCUAGAGAGAGAAAAACACAACUAUGAAUGAAUUAUUAGUCUCAUGAUCCGUGUUAAGGGUCUCACAUUUUUAGUUUCAAAUAGGUCUAAAUGAUAUGACAUUGAAUAUUUUAAUAGUACUUUGACACUUUUUGAAAUAAAAAAUUGGAUUUCUAACUAGAUUGGAUUUCUAGGGACUUCAAACAGAAUGCUGGAAUUUAUCAUGCACCUUUUCUACCUUCAACAGAAACUUCUCUACCCAACAGUGUGAUUUCUAACUGUAUUGUGUGCGUAAAAUAUACGGAUUUGGUCAUCUUAUAUUGUAAAAUCAGAAAGGCAAUCUUUUUAAACUGUAAAGUUAUAUGUGCACUUGAAAGUUUCUUGUCAAGAGUUGUACAAGUAAAAAAAAUUAAAAAAAAAACAAGUGUUUCCAUCUUUCUAGCUAUUUGCCAUUUUCACUUCGAUCCGAUUGAUCAGUCCUGAGCCUCUGAAUGAAAACUUUCACACUUGUGUGUGCACACAUGCACACACAUACGUUUGCCUGCAAUCAGUACAUUGAAGAGUCAAAUUUUGUGACAACGAUGGCAAGGUUCUUCUAUCUUGUUGAAAGAUAAUCACAAGAUUUCUUAAAUGGGUAACUGCACUCAGAGGAUCUAACACAAAGGAUGAGAAAAUAAAAUUGAAAACAAUUGCCUUUUCAAACCAAAGGGCCUACCUUAGCUACUUAAUAUUAUAGUGAUAACAAAUUUGAGAAAAUAGAUAGCCUUAAAUAUUGAUUCACUUGCAAAAGUGGCUCCAAUAGAAAGAUAUCUAGCAAUCUGGGGAAACGUGGAAUUCUAUACUCCAAGGAGUACUAGGAAAUGGACUUCAGACUCUUCAAGAUCUAUUAAGAUAGAGAGCAUGAAAUUUCUACUACAAUCAAGUAGUUCAAAAUAAAUGUUUAGAUGGAAAUUAUAUUCAUUUUCUUAUUUCUGUCUACGUUUAGUUGAUCAAGACGAACUCAUGUAAGCAGGGUAAAGUUUUCCUGCAGAAUAAGUGUGGUGACAAUUUUUAAUAGAGGCUAUUUAAACACAUAAACUAUAGAGGAAUCAUUUUCAACUGGAUUACCAAUGUCCUAAUUUACGUGUCCCCUCAUCUUUUUUUAUUGUUCCAAAACCUUGUCAUUAGUUUUAUAACAACUUGUAUGGCUAAUACUAGAUUUUUGAAAUGAGAACCUCAACCACUAAAUGGUGGUAAUAUUGGAAUCUCAAACUGCUCUAUAGGCCUUCAGGCUAUUUUAGUGCCUAAAACCCUCAAUUGGGACUGGCGGAGUAUUUGAAAGGACACUUCUGAGUUUUUUCAUUUCAAUUACCAAGAGAAACCCACUGAGAAAUGACAAGCAGACCUAUCGAAUAUCUUUAAAAUAUUAUAAAUAAAAUAAAAAUACAACAACUUGAACAGACAAGACAAUAGUCAAGGACUUGAUUCUUUGUUUUGUGCAAGAAUAAGUACAUGCAUGUAAUCUUGAGUGAACAACAACUUGUUCAUAUUGAAUGUAAAUGUAAAUCAAGUUGCGGCCUAACAUGGACAAAUGAGUAAUGGCUGAUUGACCAGCUGGAAAUUAAGAAUCGCUCUCCUCCCCUAUUUGCUUUAAAAUAUUGAAAAAAUAGGUGAAUUUUUCGUGUAUAAAUAGAAUGCAAGAGAAGAGGGGAAAAUUACCUGGGCUAGCUACACUUAAUAAUUUUACAGUUGACAGCAGAGUAUAUAUUAAAGAUGAUGCAGAAGAAGACCUUGGCAAUAGCUCUGGUGUGGCUCCUGGUUGCGUCGUCAAUCAUGAUGUGCACGUACGCAGCUGCAGACACUGCAUUUAAAACUGCUGACCAAGUUCUCCAUCCCCUAGCAGGUAAGAACGAACAUCCAUUUACUUAAUCAUGAAUCGCAUCUGUCCUACAAAUAUUCUGCAUAGUAUAUAUAUAUAUAUAUAUAUAUAUAUAUAUACACACACACUUACUAAUUAAGCGCAAUGUGUUUCGGUGCUUGAAUGCAUGCAUGCAUGUGCAUUUACGUAAUAUAUAAUUUAGAGUGUAUAUAUAUGUGUAUAUAUAUAUAUAUAUAUAUAUAUAUAUAUAUAUAUUCAUAGAACUAUAUAUGCUAAUGGAUACAUACACUACUUGAAGGUUGUCGCUGCUGCAACUUCAUUCGUGUGAAUGGGUUUAUCCAAUGCGGAAUAGUUUGUUGUGUGGAUGGAUGUUGCGGUCGCAAGUGAAGCACCUGCAAUGCAGCUACACAGACAAUAAUAUGAAUCAUGGUGGUGGUGUUGCACAAUAAGAUGAAUAAUGGUGGUCAAAAGUUGCAACAUCGCUGAAGCAAUCAAAGCCCCCCUUAUAGAUUUCCCUGUUUGUUUGUUUUGCAUUCCUAUCGAGUUAUAUAAUGUUUGUCGAAAAGAUCCUGUUUAAUGAAAAAUGUCUGGAAAUCUGGGUGUUUCAGCAGGAUUUCUUUAUGUUGAUGUAUGUAUGUAUGUCUACAUGAGGAUAUCUAUUAUAUAUACUAAAUCACAGUACAUGGCACCAUAUAUUGACAAAUGUCCUUCUACAAAUUCAACACUUGUCCAUCUUAAAUAGUUUUAAUUAUGUCACAAUUAUCUUAAUUAUAUCCUAUCCUUUUUUAAAUUAUGGAAAAAUAAUAACAAACCAAUUAUCUUAAUUAUAUCCUAUCCUUUUUUAAAUUAUGGAUAAAUAAUAACAAACCAAUUAUCUUAAUUAUAUCCUAUCUUUUUUAAAUUAUGGAUAAAUAAUAACAAACCAAGUAGAAUUUAAUCUCUUCAACAACUAAUGAGCACAAUUUUAUAUGGAUAAAACUUCCUAACUGAAUACGUAUAUUAAUCAGGCUAAUUAUUUAUUCUCAUAAAUGAAUAAAAACCAUGGCUUCUUCUUUCACGGUCAAUUUUCCUCUUCUUUUCCGUUUUGUCUCUCUGUCUUUCUUCUACUUAUGUCAUUCACGUUUCGCACGAUGGAAGAGCCAUUAUAUACACACAUUAUUACUUACAGGUUACAGCUAUAUGCAGGAGUGUGAAACAUAACCCAGAAGCGGGUGGAAUUAUUUCAUUGGUUUGCCUAUUUUCUAAAUUUUUAGAUAUUAUGUGCUAAAAUUUGAGAUUAUUGCAUUUGCAUUUAGUUGCUGAUAUGCGGAAUAAUGUUUGCAAUUGAUUUGAUUGAUCUGAUAUUUGUGUUGUCAAUCGUGUUUAAUUGAAAAUUUUGGUGGGUUUUCGAUUGGAAAGUUUGUGUUUAGAUUAGAACUAUUCACGUUUCUUAUAUCAACAGUAAGGAACUGGGUUUAUUUCUUAAUUUGAUUAUUUAGUAUCUUCAUUUUAAGUAUGUAUUUUGGUUUUGUUAAUAUUAUAAAUAAACACAAACAUGUAAGUAUGCAUGUAAAUGAUGAGGACAUGAGGUAUUUUAUUGGUAUGGCCUGUAGAGUUUUGGUUCUAAUCCACACUCCCGAGUCCCGUGUACAAAUUUACUUUUUAAUUGUUGCCUUUAUUUAGUACAAAUUUACUCUUUUAGACUUAUUCGUUUUAAAUGUGUUAUGGUCUUCUUCUUUUUUUUUUUGACUUAUCUCUAAUCCGAUUAUACUAUUUGAUCAUCGCACAAUAAUAUACUAUUUUUUUAUUAUAUUUUAAUUUAUUAAUUGUACGCAUAUAUUUAUUAUAAAAAAUUUGAAUAAUCCCGCCGCAACGCGGGGGUUUGUAUCUAGUAUCUAUCUAUAUAAAAGUGAUCGACUCGUUAAUCUAAAAGUAUCAUUCAUUUCAAGAGUUUGAUUCACAAUCUGUCCUGCCUACUAAUUUCAAGGAACAACUAGAUGAACUGCUUCUAGUGUUAACACAAGAAAAACUGUUUCUGCUCCAUACCAACCAAAACAUACAAAACUGCACCUUUUUAUAGUCAUUUCAUGAUACUUACCAUAUGAAUGUUCCAAUACACAAAUGUUCCGAUCUAUAAAAAUUUAUUUUUUAUUUUUUUGACAAAACCUGGAAAAAUAAUACAUUAUGUCGUCCAAAUUAGGGAGUACAUGUAUAAUAAGGUUGAGGGAUACCUACUCUAUUCAUAAAUGAAGCAAGUUACAAACUUCCAUAAUCUAAGUAAGAAAAUAAAGUAUCAAUAAACAACUAUCAAAGACAUGCCAAGUCUCGCAUCCAAUUUAUACCAUAUAAUCACCAUUUAACGAUCAUCAUAAAAGAAAAUCACUCACCACAUCAGUAGAAUCAGAGCUCCCACAAGGAGAAAAAAGACCCCACAAGAGUGGAGAAAGAACGAUUUAAACCUAAAGGAGAAAAUAAAAUUCCAUAUAAGAAAAAAAAAACAAUUAUAAAAUAAGAAAAGAUAGUCAAUAAGAAGAUCAUGAGAGGGUCUCUUCAAAUAAGAUACAGACCCUCCCUAGAUCUAAGUUUGAAGUUUGGGAGACUAGGGUUUAUGGCUAGAGAGAGAAAGAAAAACACAACUAUGAAUAAAUUAUUAGUCUCGUGAUUCGUGUUAAGGGUCUCACAUUUUUAGUUUCAAAUAGGUCUAAAAUGAUAUGACAUUGAAUAUUUUAAUAGUACUUUAACACUUUUUGAAACAAAAAAUUGGAUUUCUAACUGUAUUGAAUUUCUAGGAACUUCAAACGGAAUGCUGGAAUUUAUCAUGCACCUUUUCUACCUUCAACAGAAACUUCUCUACCCAACAAUGUGAUUUCUAACUGUAUUGUGUGCGUAAAAUAUACGGAUUUGGUCAUCUUAUAUUGUAAAAUCAGAAAGUCAAUCUUUUUUAUCUAUAAAGUUAUAUGUGCAUUUGAAAGUUUCUUGUCAAGAGUUGUACAAGUAAAAAAAUAAUAAAAUUUUAAAAAAAAAAAAAAAAGUUUCCAUCUUUCUAGCUAUUUGCCAUUUUCACUUCAAUCUGAUUGAUAUCAGCCCUGAGCCUCUGAAUGAAAACUUUCACACUUGUGUGUGCACACAUGCACACACAUGUGUGCACACACAUACGUUUGCCUGCAAUCAGUACAUUGAAGAGUCAAAUUUUGUGACAUCGAGGGCAAGGUUCUUCUAUCUUGUUGAAAGAUAAUCACAAGAUUUCUCAAAUGGGUAACUGCACUCAGAGGAUCUAACACGAAGGAUGAGAAAAUAAAAUUGAAAACAAUUGCCUUUUCAAACCAAAGGGCCUACCUUAGCUACUUAAUACUAUUAUAGUGAUAACAAAUUUGAGAAAAUAGAUAGCCUUAAAUAUUGAUUCACUCUAGCAAUCUGGGGAAAUGUGGAAUCUAUACUCUAAGGAGUACUAGGAAAUGGACUUCAGACUCUUCAAGAUCUAUUAGAUAGAGAGCAUGAAAUUUCUACUACAAUCAAGUAGUUCAAAAUAAAUGUUUAGAUGGAAAUUAUAUUCAUUUUCUUAUUUCAGUCUACGUUCAGUUGAUCAAGAUGAACUCAUGUAAGCAGGGUAAAGUUUUCCUGCAGAAUAAGUGUGGUGACAAUUUUUAAUAGAGGCUAUUUAAACAGAUAAACUAUAGAGGAAUCAAUUUCAAUUGGGUUACCAAUGUCCUAAUUUACAUGUCCCCUCAUCUUUUUUUAUUGUUCCAAAACCUUGUCAUUAGUUUUAUAGCAACUUGUAUGGCUAAUACCAGAUUUUUGAAAUGAGAACCUCAACCACUAAACGGUGGUAAUAUUGGAAUCUCAAACUGCUCUAUAGGCCUUCAGGCUAUUUUAGUGCCUAAAACCCUCAAUUGGGACUGGCGGAGUAUUUGAAAGGACACUUCUGAGUUUUUUCAUUUCAAUUACCAAGAGAAACCCACUAAGAAAUGACAAGCAGACCUAUCGAAUAUCUUUAAAAUAUUAUAAAUAAAAUAAAAAUACAACAACUUGAUCGUCAAGACAAUAGUCAAGGACUUGAUUCUUGUUUUGUGCAACAAUAAGUACAUAUAAUCUUCAGUGAACAACAAUCUAUGAAUAUAAAUGUAAAUCAACUUGCAGCCUAACAUGGACAAAUGACUAGGAUGGAUGUCGAGAGAUAAGACCUCACACAUGCGAGAAAUGGCUGAUUGACCAGCUCGAAAGAAUCACUCUUAUAGUCCUAUUUGCUUUAAAAUAUUGACAAAAUAGGUGAAUUUUUCGUGUAUAAAUCUAAUGCAAGAGAAGAGGGGAAAAUUACCUGGACUACAUUUAAUUUCUUAGUUGAAAACAGAGAAUUAAUGAUGACGCAGAAGAAGACGUUGGCAUAAUUGAAAACUGCUGACCAAGCUCUCCAUCCCCUAGCUGGUAAGAAUAUCCUUUUGCUUAAUCAUGAAUUGCAUCUGUUCUAGAAAUAUUCUGCAGAGUAUAUGGAUAGAUAUAAAGUAAUUAGGGGCAAUGUAUUUCAGUACUUGCAUGCAUGUGCAUUUAUGUAAUAAUUUUGAGUAUAUAAAUAUUUUUGAAGAAUAAUGCUAACAGAUACAUACACUACUUGAAGGUUGUCGCUGCUGCAACUUCAUUUAUGUAAAGCCAUUCAUCAGAUGUUGAACAGUUUGUUGUGUGGAUCGAUGUUGCAGUCCCAAGUGAAGCACCUGCAAUGUGGCUACACAAUAAUAUGAAUAAUGGUGGUGUAGUUGCACAAUAAGAUGAAUAAUGGUGGUCAAA
This 8265-nucleotide long non-coding RNA is filed under the name Panax ginseng (ginseng). Its description in RNAcentral is "long non-coding RNA (PGIN_LNC012366)". The record is from RNAcentral. Lineage: Eukaryota; Viridiplantae; Streptophyta; Magnoliopsida; Apiales; Araliaceae.